RNAcentral lists this ribosomal RNA (357 nucleotides) under uncultured prokaryote. RNAcentral's name for it is "bacterial SSU rRNA". It matches the Rfam family "Bacterial small subunit ribosomal RNA", at positions 8 to 352 of the family's 1533-position model. The record is from RNAcentral.
AGAGUUUGAUCCUGGCUCAGGAUGAACGCUGGCGGCGUGCCUAAUACAUGCAAGUCGAGCGAAUGGAUUAAGAGCUUGCUCUUAUGAAGUUAGCGGCGGACGGGUGAGUAACACGUGGGCAACCUGCCCAUAAGACUGGGAUAACUCCGGGAAAACCGGGGCUAAUACCGGAUAACAUUUUGAACUGCAUGAUUCGAAAUUGAAAGGCGGCUUCGGCUGUCACUUAUGGAUGGACCCGCGUCGCAUUAGCUAGUUGGUGAGGUAACGGCUCACCAAGGCAACGAUGCGUAGCCGACCUGAGAGGGUGAUCGGCCACACCGGGACUGAGACACGGCCCAGACUCCUACGGGAGGCGAC